RNAcentral lists this ribosomal RNA (457 nucleotides) under Escherichia coli. Its description in RNAcentral is "bacterial SSU rRNA". It matches the Rfam family "Bacterial small subunit ribosomal RNA", at positions 1 to 460 of the family's 1533-position model. The record is from RNAcentral. Lineage: Bacteria; Pseudomonadati; Pseudomonadota; Gammaproteobacteria; Enterobacterales; Enterobacteriaceae.
UAACUGAAGAGUUUGAUCAUGGCUCAGAUUGAACGCUGGCGGCAGGCUUAACACAUGCAAGUCGAGCGGGGGAAGGUAGCUUGCUACUGGACCUAGCGGCGGACGGGUGAGUAAUGCUUAGGAAUCUGCCUAUUAGUGGGGGACAACAUCUCGAAAGGGAUGCUAAUACCGCAUACGUCCUACGGGAGAAAGCAGGGGAUCUUCGGACCUUGCGCUAAUAGAUGAGCCUAAGUCGGAUUAGCUAGUUGGUGGGGUAAAGGCCUACCAAGGCGACGAUCUGUAGCGGGUCUGAGAGGAUGAUCCGCCACACUGGGACUGAGACACGGCCCAGACUCCUACGGGAGGCAGCAGUGGGGAAUAUUGGACAAUGGGGGGAACCCUGAUCCAGCCAUGCCGCGUGUGUGAAGAAGGCCUUAUGGUUGUAAAGCACUUUAAGCGAGGAGGAGGCUACUCUAGU